Molecule: long non-coding RNA, 547 nt
Filed under: Anas platyrhynchos platyrhynchos (common mallard)
Lineage: Eukaryota; Metazoa; Chordata; Aves; Anseriformes; Anatidae
Description: lncRNA (ENSAPLG00000021207.1)
Source: RNAcentral
AGAUAAACAAGUUAAAAAAAUGCCAAAUUAUAGAAUAAUGUAAAUUUCUAUAAUGUAGCUGGAAUGGGGGUCUGAUUAAACCAGGCCUACUGGCACCUUAAUGUUAAUUUUGCUUUGGUUUGACAGUCUUUGGUUUGCUCACACAGUAAUGGAAAGACUACUAAAGCCUGGCUUUUGCUUUCUCUUUGGCAGCCCCAGCUGAGACCACUGUGGCCGAAACACCAGGUAUUUAUUCCUGAUCAUAGACCCUACAGCUGAGCGUGGCUGUGCCCCGGCUGCAGCAGCCUCCCCCAGCAGUGUGCAGCCACCCUCCAAAGGGGGACACGAGUUCCUCCCGCCUGUCAGACCUGUGGCAGUUCCUAACCAGCACUUGUGCUCUCUUGCAUGCCUCUCCAGCCCCUGCCGAAACCACCACACCUCCAGCACCAGCCCCAACUGAGACCACUGUGGCCAAAACACCAGUCCCUGAUGAAACCACCACGCCUCCAGUACCAGGUACUGACCACUUUAUUCUGUGUGGAAUUGGUGCCAGGAUGAAGCCUGGCAG